RNAcentral lists this ribosomal RNA (726 nucleotides) under Salmonella enterica. RNAcentral describes it as "partial 23S ribosomal RNA". It matches the Rfam family "Bacterial large subunit ribosomal RNA", at positions 1 to 668 of the family's 2925-position model. The record is from RNAcentral. Lineage: Bacteria; Pseudomonadati; Pseudomonadota; Gammaproteobacteria; Enterobacterales; Enterobacteriaceae. RNAcentral also lists the same sequence under 1 other name.
GGUUAAGCGACUAAGCGUACACGGUGGAUGCCAUGGCAGUCAGAGGCGAUGAAGGGCGUGCUAAUCUGCGAUAAGCGCCGGUAAGGUGAUAUGAACCGUUAUAACCGGCGAUACCCGAAUGGGGAAACCCAGUGUGACUCGUCACACUAUCAUUAACUGAAUCCAUAGGUUAAUGAGGCGAACCGGGGGAACUGAAACAUCUAAGUACCCCGAGGAAAAGAAAUCAACCGAGAUUCCCCCAGUAGCGGCGAGCGAACGGGGAGGAGCCCAGAGCCUGAAUCAGCAUGUGUGUUAGUGGAAGCGUCUGGAAAGGCGCGCGAUACAGGGUGACAGCCCCGUACACAAAAGCGCAUGUGCUGUGAGCUCGAUGAGUAGGGCGGGACACGUGGUAUCCUGUCUGAAUAUGGGGGGACCAUCCUCCAAGGCUAAAUACUCCUGACUGACCGAUAGUGAACCAGUACCGUGAGGGAAAGGCGAAAAGAACCCCGGCGAGGGGAGUGAAAAAGAACCUGAAACCGUGUACGUACAAGCAGUGGGAGCCCCACCACUAAGCCAGUGGUGAACUCCACAUACGCAUCCUUUGCUGAGGAUACGGUUAACGGAGCGAAAGCGACGUUCAACCUCAAAAGAAGCAGAGGGGGCUUAGUGGUGGGGUGACUGCGUACCUUUUGUAUAAUGGGUCAGCGACUUAUAUUCUGUAGCAAGGUUAACCGAAUAGGGGAGCCG